Molecule: long non-coding RNA, 1618 nt
Organism: Oreochromis aureus
Lineage: Eukaryota; Metazoa; Chordata; Actinopteri; Cichliformes; Cichlidae
Source: Ensembl
GUUUAGACGUCCGUGAUAAUAAUGAAAAUGUUUUAGUUUGUUAUUUUUAGGGGCAAGCAGACCUGGACCAAUUCUCCAGAUCCAGGAGUCGGACGAAACUACAGGUUAACAUGAAUGGAUAUGUUAAGGCAAGUUUCUGGUUGAAUUGUUUACAGUGUCCAGGAACCUGACAGCAAGCCCUAACUGGUGGUGGAAGACCAGCAGGGCUGUGAUUUAAGGUGGGGAAGUAAAAUUUGGGUUAGUGAUUGGGGGACGGAGAAAACUGACUCUUUAACUGGAGAAUGGGAAAGUGUCUGUGAGACUGUGAAGCCAUAUAUGCAAAAUAGCACACACAAACAUACGCAAUGAAGAUCGGCUUGCUACUUGUAUGAGUGAUAGAAUGGUGUGAAUGUUGAAUAAACUGAUUAAACUAGUCUAAAAGGGUGACUUAGCAGUGCUUUUGCACUGAGUGAUCAAAACAAGUGAUUAGUAUAGAAAGAAAAUGAAAAUAAUUGAAUAGUGGCAUGAGGUUUAAAAAAGUAUUUCUUUUGCCAAGUUAAAUUGUUGAGAUAUGGCUGAGUAUGGAAAAAGUUUGAGAGCUUGUGUGAAUGUGGACAGAGGAGCUUGCGGUGUGUGUGUGAUUGAGGCCUUAAAGGAGGGGUAGAUUGUUCAGAGGUGCAAAUUUGAUUAGGAGGUUUAUAAAUUAGUGUUGACACAUUGUUGUAAGAUCUUAGGCUGAAUCUGAGUAUGGUAAAGUGCUUAACCGGGGUUAUUGUUGUGUACGAAACGGUGUAGCUUUUGGCGAGGUUUUCGGUGUGUUGAACGGGUGAAAUUUAAGAUUGUUUCAGAUUUUUGAGGUUGUUGUUUUAUUUUUAAUAGAGGGAGUUUUGAUAAACAUGGACAUGUCUAAAAGGGCCCAUAGUUUUUUCUAAGUGCACUGUUAUAAAAACUAUGGGCCCUUUUAGACAUGUCCAUGUUUAUCAAAACUCCUCUAUUAAAAAUAAAACAACAACCUCAAAAAUCUUCAACAAUCUUAAAUUUCACCCGUUCAACACACCGAAAACCUCGUCAAAAGAUCAAAGACCGUUUUCAUUCAGCACAAGAUAAAAACCAAUUUCAACCACAUAUCAUCCUUAAAUUAUAAAUUUCCUGUCCAAAUCUGCCCCUCUGAACAGACCUGACCACCGUAAUCAAAUAUCCUGAUACUUUACCAUUAUAUAUUUCUCCCAAUACUCUUCAACAGCCACUGCUCUCUCUUGAACUGAACCGAAAGCCUCCGACACACACGCACACAGGAAGUGUCUUUGUCACUCACUCACUCCAGCUAAUUUGCAUAAACCCACAGCUCAACAGCCAACUUACCAAGAGGAAUACAUGUUUAAACUUUAUCACGUUAUUGAAUUAUUUUCAUUUUCUUUCUAUACUAAUCACUUACUUUGAUAAAUCAGUGCAAGAGCACUCCUGAGUCACUCUUAUAGACACUUUUCUUUUGUUUUUUCCAUCUAUUUUAAAUCUUUCCAUCAAUUGUAUUAACCAUUCACACCAUUCUCUCACUCAUACAAGCAGCAAGCAGAUCUUCAUUGCAUAUGCUUAUGUUCUUAGCCAGGUUUUUAAUCAAUAUCUGUUCAUUAAGCUUCAG